RNAcentral lists this long non-coding RNA (304 nucleotides) under Prunus persica (peach). RNAcentral describes it as "long non-coding RNA (PPER_LNC004882)". The record is from RNAcentral. Lineage: Eukaryota; Viridiplantae; Streptophyta; Magnoliopsida; Rosales; Rosaceae.
AACUUCUAAAAAAAAAAGAAAAAAAGAAAAGGACACACGCAAGUUGUUGUCUAGCUUUCUCUAGGGCAAUAUAUAAAACAGAUGGUGACAUGGCUUGCCCAUCCAUCCACCACAUGCAGGGGUCAAUAUUUUUUGCUCUAGGCGGCGAUUCUAGAUUUUUGGGGGUCACUUGACCACAUUUGCUCUUAUGUGGAUCUGCCAUUAGAUCUAGGAACUCUUUACUCAAGAGUUAAUUUUUUUUAUUUUUUUAAACAAAAGAUUAUCUUAAAAUCUAAACUGAUAUUAUUAUCAUUCAUUAGUCAAG